RNAcentral lists this ribosomal RNA (249 nucleotides) under uncultured Solirubrobacterales bacterium. RNAcentral's name for it is "partial 16S ribosomal RNA". It matches the Rfam family "Bacterial small subunit ribosomal RNA", at positions 355 to 596 of the family's 1533-position model. Lineage: Bacteria; Bacillati; Actinomycetota; Thermoleophilia; Solirubrobacterales. The record is from RNAcentral.
UGGGGAAUCUUGCGCAAUGCACGAAAGUGUGACGCAGCAACGCCGCGUGGAGGAAGAAGGCUCUCGGGUCGUAAACUCCUUUCAGUUGGGACGAAGCUUCGUCGGUUAAUAGCCGGCUGGAGUGACGGUACCUUCACAAGAAGCACCGGCUAACUACGUGCCAGCAGCCGCGGUAAUACGUAGGGUGCGAGCGUUAAUCGGAAUUACUGGGCGUAAAGCGUGCGCAGGCGGUUAUAUAAGACAGGCGGG